This 251-nucleotide ribosomal RNA is filed under the name uncultured prokaryote. Its description in RNAcentral is "partial 16S rRNA". It matches the Rfam family "Bacterial small subunit ribosomal RNA", at positions 525 to 775 of the family's 1533-position model. The record is from RNAcentral.
ACGGAGGAUCCGAGCGUUAUCAGGAUUCACUGGGUUUAAAGGGUGCGCAGGCGGGCCCCUCAGUCAGCGGUGAAAGUCUGCGGCUCAACCGUAGGAUUGCCGUUGAUACUGGGGGUCUUGGAUUCGCUCGAGGCGGGCGGAAUGUGGGGUGUAGCGGUGAAAUGCUUAGAUAUGACGCAGAACGCCGAUUGCGAAGGCAGCUCGCCGAGUCGAUAUCGACGCUCAUGCACGAAAGCGUGGUGAUCGAACAG